GAACGCUGGCGGCGUGCUUAACACAUGCAAGUCGAACGGAAAGGCCCUGCUUUUGUGGGGUGCUCGAGUGGCGAACGGGUGAGUAACACGUGAGUAACCUGCCCUUGACUUUGGGAUAACUUCAGGAAACUGGGGCUAAUACCGGAUAGGAGCUCCUGCUGCAUGGUGGGGGUUGGAAAGUUUCGGCGGUUGGGGAUGGACUCGCGGCUUAUCAGCUUGUUGGUGGGGUAGUGGCUUACCAAGGCUUUGACGGGUAGCCGGCCUGAGAGGGUGACCGGCCACAUUGGGACUGAGAUACGGCCCAGACUCCUACGGGAGGCAGCAGUGGGGAAUAUUGCACAAUGGGCGGAUGCCUGAUGCAGCAACGCCGCGUGCGGGAUGACGGCCUUCGGGUUGUAAACCGCUUUCGCCUGUGACGAAGCGUGAGUGACGGUAAUGGGUAAAGAAGCACCGGCUAACUACGUG
RNAcentral lists this ribosomal RNA (465 nucleotides) under uncultured bacterium. RNAcentral describes it as "partial 16S ribosomal RNA". It matches the Rfam family "Bacterial small subunit ribosomal RNA", at positions 31 to 507 of the family's 1533-position model. The record is from RNAcentral.